GGGAUGACGGAAGAGCACACAAGGAGUGGAGCCUGCGGCUUAAUUUGACUCAACACGGGAAAACUCACGGAGGCAAGAGAGGGGUACGAUGCUCGGCCUGAAUGGCUAGGCAAGAUUCCCUCAGUGGUGGUGCAUGGUCGUUCUUAGUUCGUGGAGUGAUUUGUCUGGUCUAUUCCGCUAACGAGCAAGAUCCCGCCUUCUGAACGUUACGCGCUGUAUACGCCCGGUGGCAGUUUUUGGCUGUGCUGCCUGGUCGCAAGACUGGAGUUGCGUGGCUGAGUUCGGCCCUGGGUAAUCGGAAACAGAGAUGAUUGCCGGCUAACGCUAGUGAUCGGACCUACCUCCGUUUUUUACAUGCGAGAACAAUAUAAUGAACCCUCAAGGUGUACCUGCAUCAAGCAGGCACAAGCGGGUCAAUAACAGGUCAGUGAUGCCCUUAGAUGCCUUUGGCUGCACGCGCGCUACAAUGGGGAGAGCACCGGGUUUCAUCAGCCUCGAAAGAGCGCAGAAAAUCCUGCUAAUACUCCUCUUAACCGGGACUGCGUCGAGUAUCUCGACUAUACGAACGUGGAAUUUCUAGUACUCGUUGUUCACUAGAUAGCGGGGAUUCUGUCCCUGCUCUUUGUACACACCGCCCGUCGCUCCUACCGAUUGAGCUAAGGGAUGAGCUAGGGAGACUCAAAUGCCGGACGCGUCUUUCAACCCGCAAUAAUGGCGGGCGGGCGUAACUCAGCGGGGGCAACCCAAGUCCUGAUACCUCGCA
RNAcentral lists this ribosomal RNA (763 nucleotides) under Arcyria occidentalis. Its description in RNAcentral is "partial small subunit ribosomal RNA". It matches the Rfam family "Eukaryotic small subunit ribosomal RNA", at positions 1149 to 1831 of the family's 1831-position model. The record is from RNAcentral. Lineage: Eukaryota; Evosea; Eumycetozoa; Trichiida; Trichiidae.